CCCUUUUCCUUCGCUUGAAGUUACCAUAACAGUGCAUUGUGAAUUGUAGUCUAUCGAAAUGGCGAUUCAUCAUAUCAGUAGCUUCUUUAUUGGUUGAUGAUGCUCCUUACUUCGUGUAUGGAAUGGUAUCGACAUGUUGAAUGGACAUCGCAUAACGGCAUAUGUACGUAUGAACAUUUACAUUGAAGUGAUUGCACUAUAAAAAUGGACUACAUUCUACGAAGAUGGAAAACAAGCGAGUGGAAAAACACGAUCUAUAUCUUGUGGUUUGUGAAUGGUCAGGUCCCUACGUACUGAAUAAUUUUUAUACAUGAUUUAUAUAUGGCUGCUAUUAGUUUUCGUUUUUCGUCUAUUGAUUACAAUUUUUGUUAACACUCUGCACUAUUUCAUUUUUUGUGCUCUACAAAAGUUUGCGUUUCUUUGUACGAACAAAAAAUAUUUGCUGUGUCAAUAGGGUAGUCAGCCCACAUUUUUAUUGCUCCGUAAAUUUAAAUUUUUUAUACGACUGUAUAAGACGCACGAUCUGACUACGCUGCAUGUUAAAGUAGAUCAUCGGGAUCAUUGAAAACAACAAAAA
Xenia sp. Carnegie-2017 is the source of this 577-nucleotide long non-coding RNA. RefSeq lists it as uncharacterized. Lineage: Eukaryota; Metazoa; Cnidaria; Anthozoa; Malacalcyonacea; Xeniidae. The transcript has 2 exons. The record is from RefSeq and is a predicted model, not a curated record.